RNAcentral lists this ribosomal RNA (494 nucleotides) under uncultured bacterium. RNAcentral's name for it is "partial 16S ribosomal RNA". It matches the Rfam family "Bacterial small subunit ribosomal RNA", at positions 28 to 507 of the family's 1533-position model. The record is from RNAcentral.
GACGAACGCUGGCGGCGUGCUUAACACAUGCAAGUCGAACGGUGAAGCGCCUUCCUCUUUGGUGGGUGUGGAUGAGUGGCGAACGGGUGAGUAACACGUGAGUAACCUGCCCCCUUCUUCUGGAUAACCGCAUGACAGUGUGGCUAAUACGGGAUAUUCUGGGUCUGUCGCAUGAUGGGUCUGGGAAAGAUAUUGUUUCGGUGGGGGAUGGUCUCGCGGCCUAUCAGCUUGUUGGUGGGGUGAUGGCCUACCAAGGCGGUGACGGGUAGCCAGCCUGGGAGGGUGGACGGUCACAGUGGUACUGCGAGACGGCGAAGACUACUGCGGGAGGCAGUGGGGAAGAUUGUAGCACAAGGGGCAGAAGGAUGAUGCAGCGACGCGUGUGGAGAGAAGGACGCCUGAGGGUUGAGAACCUCUUUCGGGAGUGAAGGGCGCUUGCUUCAUAUGUGGGUGGGUUGACGGUAGCUGGAUAAGAAGCGCCGGCUAACUACGUG